Molecule: long non-coding RNA, 3757 nt
Organism: Sceloporus undulatus (fence lizard)
Lineage: Eukaryota; Metazoa; Chordata; Lepidosauria; Squamata; Phrynosomatidae
Exons: 3
Source: RefSeq, a predicted model, not a curated record
GGCAUCUUCAAAGAAUGCUGGCAUGGAGGGAAAAAUGAUCCAGUGGCUUUGAUGAAAGGGAAGAACAUCUUCUCUUUGUAGUUUUUAGUUCAAGGACCACUGUCCUGAGAUCAGAGAUGAAAUGCUUUGGAAGACUAAAGUGUUCUGCAACAGGUUUUUGUGUAUUUCCACAAAAUAAUGUCUAAUUUAUGUCCAUUUAUCCUCUGGCACAGAGAAUGGCCUCUUUGGCAUUCAUACGGUUAUCCACCCACUCUGGUCUUAGGCCAUGGAAGGGGAGCUACUUUGUUUGUAUCGGCAUCCAGAAAAGACAGUGUUGCCUUUUGGGAGGAGGGAUUUGAUGUUUGUAUGCACAGAUUCACGAGUCGACAUUUCACCUCCUCCUUCUCUACCAGUUUCACUUUAUAGAUGCAAAAGUGGACAAGCAGAAUGAAAGGAAAAAAUGGCUAUUUGAUUAAAUAAAUGUGUGAAUAUUCUCAUUCACUGUGGGAAUAAGAAACCCCCUAUAACCCACAACUGUUGUGAUGUGACCAGACAUAAACUGAUACAGUGAUCAUACACAUAUAGUAGAAAAACCCCACUGCAUCAUUGUAGCUAUGUAAUGAUUGUCCAUGUGGCUUUUCAAACAGAUUUCAGUUUGGAUUAAAACAGUUAUGUGCCCAUAAAGUGGUCUAACUGAGGCAUGGAUACUACGCAGUGGAGCUGGGAUACAGUCUUCAUGUAGAUUCAGCUUAAGAUUUAGGGGGGAAAGCAGGAAAAUGGAAGAGGGCUCUCUGAGGUACUGCUGUUACAAUAACUGAUGUAAUAAAGUACAGCAUCAUCCAAAAUCCACAAAACAGUGACACCUUUAUUGGAAAAACCGAAAUGCACAAAAUACAUGUUGCAAGCUUUCAAAGCUCUAUUUGCUUCUUCAUCAGGCAAAAGUGUUAAAAAUGAUAGGAGAAGGAAAUAAAAUGACAAAAAUAUUCAAAAAUAUUGAUGUAACAAAGGUACCUUUUCCAAAGUCUAUGUGCUUGACUUUCUAUGAGAACAGUGGUCCAAAAAAGAAACUUGUCCAAACUUUGGACUAAUAUUCAUGUGGGAUGGUUUCGUCCUCAUUCACAUUUACUAGAAAAAUUUCCUUUUAUACCAGCAGGAGUUAAUGAUGAAGAACAUACAUAACAAAAUGGAAUAAUUCUUCUGGCAGUGCAUUAUAUACUCAAAAACCUAUCCUCAUUUUCUUUCCUGCCCGCCUGCCAUCCUCCCAUUAUAAUUCACCCUCCUACAUAGUUCCCUGACCCACGUUUGUCUUAGGAAUAAUUUUGGCAUCACCUGAAAGUCGUGCUUGCUAAAUGCUGAACUUGCUUCUCUUGUGCUCCCGUUACCAUUAAUAGGUUUGGCAUUGACUGACAGUUCUGUUGUCCUAAAUUUCUCAUUGUGUGAUCUGAAAUGACUUGAGGCAACUUGGACUUUGUCAGAAGUAGAGCAAGACUUGUUUGAGAAUACAAGUGAUGACUUGAGUCCUAAAAUAAGUUAAUCUAUGGGUGUUUCAAGAAGGAGGGCUUCCGAUCCCCCUAUUACUGGCAGACCCACUACACCUUACAGUAGGAAUGAGCAAGUGUGUUGGGCUUUGGUGGCCAAUUCAGUGGCCAAUGUGGGGUUUAGAGGUCACAUGCAACCUGUGUACUCCUUGUUCUGAAAGGCCCCUUGGUCUCUGGAGAGAUUUCACAGGGCUUGAAAAAAUCCCCAGAAUUUCCCAGACAGUAUAUCUACCAGCCAUGUUGGCUGAGGUAUUCUGGGACUUUUAGUCCAGAAAGUAGUUUUUUACAUAUUCUUGUUUUAGAGAAUUACACAUAGAUGCAGGAGGGAUGAAGUUAUUUUAGCAUCCAACUCAGUGUUUCCACCAUUGGAUGAAAUCCAGAAAGCUGGUCCAGCUUGUGAAAAAGGCUUGCCUUGGUCCAGAGAUGUGUUCAAUGUUCUUUCUUUGCACACAUUUUUCAAACAGCAACCAGCUUUGAAAUGCACAUCAUUUAAAAAUCAGGUUGUCUUGAAACAUGAAAAGCUAGAGCCCACUUGAGCUCACUGUAAGUUGAAUUUUACUUGAGAUGACAGAAAUAGUUACACUUUAAAAAGCCCCACCUGUUCAUUGACUAGGGGAGACAUAAAAAUUGGUUACUGCUGUGUGCCAAAAGUCUUGUCUAGUUUAUUUCUAAGUCAAAGCACUGGGCAGAAUCAUGUAGGUGUAUUGUUGUUGUUGUUGUUGUUGUGUGCUUUCAGGUUUUUUUCCAACCUAUGGACAAACCUAUCAUGAGGUUUUCUUGACAAGAAUCAUUCAGAGGAGGUUUGCUAUGGCCUUCCUUUGAGACUGAGAGAGCAUGACUUUCUUGACGCCACUCAGUGGGUUUUGCUUGUGGAGAGAGAAUUGGAACCUUAAAAUCAUUUACUUAAUCAUUUAGUUAAACUCAAGAGUUAACUACUAUACUGGUUCUUUGAGUGUAGAUGUCUGAGUUAUGCAUAAGUCCCCCUAUGGAAGUGAUUGGACAUUUUUGUUUGAUGCUCAACAUCUGCAUUCAGUUCAAAGUUACAGAAGUCAAAUUGAGCGUGCAGUACUGUACUAUUGUGCAUUCAGAUGUUCAUUUGGUUGCAUAUCCAGGUGUAUAUUCAGUUGUGCAACACAACAAUGAUUGUGUAGCACAACAAAAGCUUAACUCGUCAGGUGGAGGAUAAUGCUACUCAACCUUGACCCACCAUUGAGGGUUGCUCACAGAAUGAGGCACCCAGCAAUGAUCAUAUGGCUGGUCAUCUCAGUGAAUGACUGGUUAGAGCAGUGAAUGCUCCAGGUUGCUCAACAGGAUGCCGAUGCAGACAGCUGCUCCAGUUCUACGAUGGAGGGCUCUGGAUUUUCAGGCAAGAUCCAUAGUAAGAGAUAGGUUUUAAAAAUGCAUGUUAAGCAUGUUAUAACAUUCUGAUGUUGAACAUGCUGGAUGUCAUCUGAACUGUUCACACCAAACCAGGGGUUUGGGCCCUUAGGAUCUCAGCCAAUAGGUAAUACCAUUCAAUACUACCCAGAUGAAAACCAGGACAUGAGUGACCAAGGAAUAUCAGAGUAUGGUCAAGAUGGCAAAAACUGUUAAUGAGGAAGAACUCACAAGCUAGAAGAGACUGCAGAGUUUGCUUUUGCUUGGGCCUACUGGAAGAGCAAAAUGUUGAACCCUCCACUUCUCUAUGAUUCUGUGAUUCUUCACUCGGCUGAGUUAACUGAGUGCAAACUACUUUGCACUUGCAUUCAGUUUGUACCAAUAAAAAUAAGCUGGGGUAGAAGGCAUUAGAGAGCCAGUGUGCUGUAGUAGUUUGAGUGUUGAACUAUGACUCUGGAGACCAGGGUUUAAAUCCCUGCUUGGCCAUAGAAACCCAUCCUCUCUAAGCCUUAAAGGAUGGCAAUGGCAAAUUCCCGCUGAAUAAACUUUCCAAAAAAAGCCUCUUGAUAGUGUUACCUUAGGGUCACCAUAGGUUGGAAAGAUGUGAAGGCAUACAACAACAACAACAAUAAAAACAACAGAAUGGAUUAAGUGGGAGAAAUAAAGAGAAACUGGGACAUUAAAUAAGCAUCUGAAAAGUGGGAGAGCAGAGGAUUAGUUGGGACUGUUGCUGACAAAUCAGGAGAGUUGGUGGGUUUAGUAAAAUCAUAGAAUCAUAGAGUUGGAAGAGACCACAAGGGUGAUCCAGUCCAACCCCUGCCAUGCAGGAGCUCAUUAUCAAAGCAACCCUGACAGAUUGCCAU